Molecule: ribosomal RNA, 525 nt
Filed under: Triticum aestivum (bread wheat)
Lineage: Eukaryota; Viridiplantae; Streptophyta; Magnoliopsida; Poales; Poaceae
Description: partial small subunit ribosomal RNA
Source: RNAcentral
AUGUUGUUGUGGCAGAUGGAUAAAUCUAGAAAGAAACAAGAAGAAAAGGAAUUUGAGGCGGCCAUGCUUGCAUUUGCUUUGGAUGUGGCGUCGUCAAGUGUGACACUGCCGUACGCAUCAAGAAAGUUACAUUUUGUUACAGGCCUCCAAUGGGUAGAAGAGAAGGAGAAAGAUGCAAAAUCUUUCUAUGCUAUGUUCAGAAUGAGGAGGUCAGUGUUUCGCACAUUGCAUGAUCUGUUAGUUCAGAAGUAUGGGCUUGAGUCAACUUCCAACAUUUCAUCCAAAGAAGCAUUGGCACAAUUUUUAUGGACUGUGGGUACAUGUCAGACAACUGACAAUGUCGCAGAUCAGUUUGCACAUAGUCGUUCUGUCAUUAGUAAAAAAUUCCACGAGGUUUUGGAGUGUGUAGACCGCAUGGCCGGUGAUUACAUAAGACCAAUUGAUCCAACUUUCUCUGAACCACACCCAGUUGGCCUCAUUUUCAACAUGCUAUUGGAGCCAUUGAUGGAACACACAUUAAGGUGA